RNAcentral lists this ribosomal RNA (503 nucleotides) under Trichoderma hamatum. RNAcentral's name for it is "eukaryotic LSU rRNA". The stretch from base 133 to 286 matches the Rfam family "5.8S ribosomal RNA". The record is from RNAcentral. Lineage: Eukaryota; Fungi; Ascomycota; Sordariomycetes; Hypocreales; Hypocreaceae.
GGCGGGGUCACGCCCCGGGUGCGUAAAAGCCCCGGAACCAGGCGCCCGCCGGAGGAACCAACCAAACUCUUUCUGUAGUCCCCUCGCGGACGUAUUUCUUACAGCUCUGAGCAAAAAUUCAAAAUGAAUCAAAACUUUCAACAACGGAUCUCUUGGUUCUGGCAUCGAUGAAGAACGCAGCGAAAUGCGAUAAGUAAUGUGAAUUGCAGAAUUCAGUGAAUCAUCGAAUCUUUGAACGCACAUUGCGCCCGCCAGUAUUCUGGCGGGCAUGCCUGUCCGAGCGUCAUUUCAACCCUCGAACCCCUCCGGGGGAUCGGCGUUGGGGAUCGGGACCCCUCACCGGGUGCCGGCCCUGAAAUACAGUGGCGGUCUCGCCGCAGCCUCUCCUGCGCAGUAGUUUGCACAACUCGCACCGGGAGCGCGGCGCGUCCACGUCCGUAAAACACCCAACUUCUGAAAUGUUGACCUCGGAUCAGGUAGGAAUACCCGCUGAACUUAAGCAU